Molecule: ribosomal RNA, 344 nt
Filed under: Lactobacillus delbrueckii subsp. bulgaricus
Lineage: Bacteria; Bacillati; Bacillota; Bacilli; Lactobacillales; Lactobacillaceae
Description: partial 23S ribosomal RNA
Rfam family: Bacterial large subunit ribosomal RNA
Source: RNAcentral
GUUUAUGCACGUGGUAGGAGAGCGUUCUAGCGGCGGUGAAGCAUGACCGAGAGGACAUGUGGAGCUUCUAGAAGUGAGAAUGCCGGUAUGAGUAACGAAAGACAGGUGAGAAUCCUGUCCGCCGCAAGACUAAGGUUUCCUGGGGCAGGCUCGUCCGCCCAGGGUAAGUCGGGACCUAAGGCGAGGCCGAGAGGCGUAGUCGAUGGACAACAGGUUGAAAUUCCUGUACUGCACCGAAUCGUUAUGAGCGAUGGAGGGACGCAGGAGGCUAGCAGCGCGUGGUGCUGGAUACCACGUUCAAGCGUCAAGUCUGAGAGCGAGUCAAAUGCUUGCUCUCAUAAGGA